RNAcentral lists this ribosomal RNA (183 nucleotides) under Eucampia antarctica. RNAcentral describes it as "partial Bacterial large subunit ribosomal RNA". It matches the Rfam family "Bacterial large subunit ribosomal RNA", at positions 1271 to 1454 of the family's 2925-position model. The record is from RNAcentral. Lineage: Eukaryota; Bacillariophyta; Thalassiosirophyceae; Eucampiales; Eucampiaceae.
UGGUGGAGUGUGCACGAGUGAGAAUGCAGGCAUGAGUAGCGAAAGACGGGUGAGAAACCCGUCCGCCGGAUGACUAAGGGUUCCAGGGUCAAGCUAAUCUGCCCUGGGUAAGUCGGGACCUAAGGCGAGGCCGACAGGCGUAGUCGAUGGACAACGGGUUGAUAUUCCCGUACCAGUGAAGAA